AUUGAACGCUGGCGGCAUGCCUUACACAUGCAAGUCGAACGGCAGCACGGGAGCAAUCCUGGUGGCGAGUGGCGAACGGGUGAGUAAUAUAUCGGAACGUGCCCAGUCGUGGGGAUAACGUAGCGAAGCUACGCUAAUACCGCAUACGAUCUAUGGAUGAAAGCGGGGGAUCGCAAGACCUCGCGCGAUUGGAGCGGCCGAUAUCAGAUUAGGUAGUUGGUGAGGUAAAGGCUCACCAAGCCGACGAUCUGUAGCUGGUCUGAGAGGACGACCAGCCACACUGGGACUGAGACAGGCCCAGACUCCUACGGAGGCAGCAGUGGGGAAUUUUGGGACAAUGGGCGCAAGCCUGAUCCAGCAAUGCCGCGUGCAGGAUGAAGCCU
Molecule: ribosomal RNA, 383 nt
Filed under: uncultured bacterium
Lineage: Bacteria
Description: bacterial SSU rRNA
Rfam family: Bacterial small subunit ribosomal RNA
Source: RNAcentral